This 774-nucleotide ribosomal RNA is filed under the name uncultured Neocallimastigales. Its description in RNAcentral is "partial large subunit ribosomal RNA". It matches the Rfam family "Eukaryotic large subunit ribosomal RNA", at positions 24 to 646 of the family's 3401-position model. Lineage: Eukaryota; Fungi; Neocallimastigomycota; Neocallimastigomycetes; Neocallimastigales. The record is from RNAcentral.
UAUCUCUGUAGAGUCUGCAUAUCAAUAAGCGGAGGAAAAGAAACUAACUAGGAUUCCCUCAGUAACGGCGAGUGAAGCGGGAAGAGCUCAAAUUUGAAAUCUUCAAGGUUCUACCUUGACGAAUUGUAGUUUAAAGAAGUGUUUUCUGUUGGAGUUUUGGUAAAAGUUCUUUGGAAUAGGACAUCAUAGAGGGUGAGAAUCCCGUAUUUGACCAUUAUUUCCAACUUUGUGAUACACUUUCAAAGAGUCGGAUUGUUUGGGAAUGCAGUCCAAAAUGGGUGGUAAAUUUCAUCUAAAGCUAAAUACUGGCGAGAGACCGAUAGCGAACAAGUAUCGUGAGGGAAAGAUGAAAAGAACUUUGAAAAGAGAGUUAAACAGUACGUGAAAUUGUCAAAAGGGAAGCGUUUGACACCAGUGUUGUUUUUCCGAAAAUCAAUUACGAAUGUUUUAUUUUUGAGGAGUUAUGACUUCAUCGGCUUGCUCCUUUCUUUAUGAAACUUUCUUAAUGCACUUUUCGGUUAACAAGUCAACAUCAAUUUCUUUUGUUGUAAAAGGGUAUGAGGAAGGUGGCUUUCUUUUCGGAGAAAGUGUUUAUAGCCUUGUGCCUCUGCAAUCGGAGAGAUUGAGGUCUGCAGCGUAGAUCCUUCGGGGUUAGAUACAUUUGUGCUAAGUUAUAGCUUUUCAUAGACAACUUGUUGACUAUAUUUAGUCUUGUAGCUUACUCGCUGACGCUAUUUUACCUACGCUUAGGAUGUUGAUGUGAUACUGCGAGCA